This 74-nucleotide small RNA is filed under the name Sinorhizobium meliloti 2011. RNAcentral describes it as "putative ncRNA". Lineage: Bacteria; Pseudomonadati; Pseudomonadota; Alphaproteobacteria; Hyphomicrobiales; Rhizobiaceae. The record is from RNAcentral.
GCCGGUCAGGGCGGCGAUCUCGAAACGAUCGCGUCCGCCGAGGCGCUCGAUCACGUCGAGCGUGCUGGUCCCGA